Molecule: non-coding RNA, 108 nt
Organism: Aspergillus avenaceus
Lineage: Eukaryota; Fungi; Ascomycota; Eurotiomycetes; Eurotiales; Aspergillaceae
Source: the annotation of a GenBank genome assembly
GGGGUUGUAGCUCAGUGGAUAGAGUGGAAGAUUGCAAUGGAUCCCUCCCUCGGGUUCGCUAAAUUGCAAGCUAUCUUUAGGUCGCCGGUUCGAUCCCGGCCAAUCCCU